GACGAACGCUGGCGGCGUGCUUAACACAUGCAAGUCGAACGCUGAAGCUCAGCUUUUGUUGGGUGGAUGAGUGGCGAACGGGUGAGUAACACGUGAGUAACCUGCCCCCUUCUUUGGGAUAACGCCCGGAAACGGGUGCUAAUACUGGAUAUUCACUGGUCUUCGCAUGGGGGUUGGUGGAAAGGGUUUUUCUGGUGGGGGAUGGGCUCGCGGCCUAUCAGCUUGUUGGUGGGGUGAUGGCCUACCAAGGCUAUGACGGGUAGCCGGCCUGAGAGGGUGACCGGUCACAUUGGGACUGAGAUACGGCCCAGACUCCUACGGGAGGCAGCAGUGGGGAAUAUUGCACAAUGGGCGCAAGCCUGAUGCAGCGACGCCGCGUGAGGGAUGGAGGCCUUCGGGUUGUGAACCUCUUUCGCUCAUGGUCAAGCCGCAACAAUGGUUGUGGUGAGGGUAGUGGGUAAAGAAGCGCCGGCUAACUACGUG
RNAcentral lists this ribosomal RNA (483 nucleotides) under uncultured bacterium. Its description in RNAcentral is "partial 16S ribosomal RNA". It matches the Rfam family "Bacterial small subunit ribosomal RNA", at positions 28 to 507 of the family's 1533-position model. The record is from RNAcentral.